UACGAAGGGGACUAGCGUUGUUCGGAAUUACUGGGCGUAAAGCGCACGUAGGCGGCUUUGUAAGUCAGGGGUGAAAUCUCGGGGCUCAACCUCGGAACUGCCUUUGAUACUGCAAAUCUCGAGUCCGAUAGAGGUGGGUGGAAUUCCUAGUGUAGAGGUGAAAUUCGUAGAUAUUAGGAAGAACACCGGUGGCGAAGGCGGCCCACUGGAUCGGUACUGACGCUGAGGUGCGAAAGCUAGGGGAGCAAACGGG
RNAcentral lists this ribosomal RNA (253 nucleotides) under uncultured bacterium. Its description in RNAcentral is "partial 16S ribosomal RNA". It matches the Rfam family "Bacterial small subunit ribosomal RNA", at positions 524 to 776 of the family's 1533-position model. The record is from RNAcentral.